GCACGUCGCAGGGAUCGUCGGGAAGCGUAGUGUUGGAGGCGCUCUUUCCACGUUCUUUACACUGGUUCUCCGCGCAGUCGCAAGCCGCUAAUCCCUUUCCUUUAUUUACCCACACACACCCCAACCCCCACAAACUUUUGAAUCGCUAUGCCUUCAGGGAAGUGUAGUCCCGUUAGCAUGUACGUCUGCUUAAUACGACUAGAAACUCACUACGACUCCCGUCGUGCACUACGGGAAUUUUGGAAAGCUAUCCCUUGUAUUUAUGAGGGUUUGUGAGCUGCUUCAAUGGAAUGAAUUCAAUGGAAUCUUUGAUAUUCAUCAAUCAAAUAUUAAAUAUCUACUACAUGCAUCAAAGGACCAUUGAGAGAAAUCUUAGAGUGAUACAAAAAUGAUAUUUGCCUACUCAAAAACAAGAGACAAGAAGGGAGAAAAUGGAAAAAGAAGGUCUAUCUUUUUCAAUGAAUCUUGUGAGUAUUUCUUCUAUCUCUGCUCCCCUGAUAGCCAUCUCUGCUUUGACUUAUGUCCUAUCCAAGUUCUAUGGUCUAAUAAGAAGAGAAUGGGGAACAGGACUCUUGGGCUCAAUUUAGUUAGGAUGGUAUAGUAUAGGGCUUCCCAAUCUUUGUGUGAGGUUUCCUUCCCUCUUUUAUUUUUGAAGAUCUGGAGGUCAGCCGGAUUACAGUAAAGACUUUAAUGGAAUUAGAGAAAGAAUAGAGGCUGUAUAUACCUCCUCUCCUAAGGAAUUUUGGCAAAGGAGGUUGUGCCAAUAGCAUUUGCCUUUGGUCUAGUAAUAAACUGAAAUUUUCUGUUUGGGACCCCUACUGU
Molecule: long non-coding RNA, 822 nt
Filed under: Monodelphis domestica (gray short-tailed opossum)
Lineage: Eukaryota; Metazoa; Chordata; Mammalia; Didelphimorphia; Didelphidae
Description: lncRNA (ENSMODG00000038815.1)
Source: RNAcentral